Molecule: long non-coding RNA, 552 nt
Filed under: Monodelphis domestica (gray short-tailed opossum)
Lineage: Eukaryota; Metazoa; Chordata; Mammalia; Didelphimorphia; Didelphidae
Description: lncRNA (ENSMODG00000031456.2)
Source: RNAcentral
CCUAUUUCUUGCCAUCUACCCCCACCUUUGGAGCAGGGAUGGAAACCUACUCCUCCUUCUCUCCUACCCCCAGUGUCUGACUGCCCAGUGUUGGUGCUCCAAGGGCACCAUGGGGGACAAGGGGCAGGCUCCAGGGUUAGAGAGAAUUGAAAGGUUAUGCAGACAUGCUGCCCUCCUCUUCCCUAACAGGAACAAGGAUGGAUUUUCAGCUCCUGAGAUCAUCAAAGGAAAAGAGAGAGAGGCUGGAGCUACAAGAAACUUACAUCCUCCUUAUGUUAGCCCGUAAGGUAGCUAGUUGGUGCAGUAGCAGAAAGACCCAGGUUCAAAAUGCAGUCUCAGACAUUACUAGCUGUGUGACCUUGGGAGCUAAGAACCAGAAACAAAAUAGGUGCCCAUGGAUUGAGGACUGGCUGAAACAGAUUGCAGGAACAUAAUGGAAAUGAUGACUGCAAAGACUACAGAGAAUUAUGGGAAGACAAAUAUGAAUUGGUGUGAAUUAAACAGAAACUAGAAAACUAUAAGUGAUGAACAAUAAAAUGAACAAUAUAAACA